This 704-nucleotide long non-coding RNA is filed under the name Astyanax mexicanus (Mexican tetra). Its description in RNAcentral is "lncRNA (ENSAMXG00005003131.1)". Lineage: Eukaryota; Metazoa; Chordata; Actinopteri; Characiformes; Acestrorhamphidae. The record is from RNAcentral.
AAAAUAUUAUAUAAUAAUAAUAAUAAUAAUAAUAAUAAUAAUAAUAAUAAUAAUAUGUUUUUUUUUUCAGCGCGUGUCCUUUAGCAUGAAGAUUCGAUUUGUGUUUUUAUUCGAACUCUUCUGAGCUCGUGAGUGGCAGCGGCAGCAGCAGCGGCAACUCUUCGACGGAAGGACCCUCUACAACUCCUAAACACCAGUUUUCUGUUUUAUAUUCACUGUUUUAAUAUCUGUUUUAUCUUUAAGUUUCUGUAUAAUUGUAUUAUAUUUACUGUUUUUCACGUUUUACUAAUUAAUUGUAUUUUAUUUUCAGGUGACUGUAGCCGCUGAGGGAGCUCACCCCCAUACCGGUCAGGUAUGGAUCCCUGGUGGAGGAGCAGACCUCUUCCAACGGUGGCACAAGGAGACUUUUCUUUCAGGACUCGUCCUGUGUCUCCGUGGGAGGGUGAAGAGCCAGCCGCCUGGGAGGAGCCCCCACCGUGUCAGCCCGGGUCCCUCGAGAUGCAGCGGAGGGCCCGCAUUAAGAUGUGGAUAGAAGGUCAGCCGGAGGGACUCCUGCCCACCUCCCACCCAGAGUCUUCAUUGCUUUCGACUACACCUGCAAGGUAUCACAGCCUUCUUACCUGCCCCUCUUACCACCCUGACACCUCCCAUUCCCUCUUUCUGAUUCUGAUUUACCACCCUGACACCUCCCAUUCCCUCUUUCU